CCUGUAGUUUAGUGGUAAAACCUCUGUCUUCCACACAGAUGUCGUCGGUUCGAUUCCGUCCAGGC
Molecule: transfer RNA, 65 nt
Filed under: marine eukaryotic metagenome
Rfam family: tRNA
About the family: Transfer RNA (tRNA) molecules are approximately 80 nucleotides in length. Their secondary structure includes four short double-helical elements and three loops (D, anti-codon, and T loops). Further hydrogen bonds mediate the characteristic L-shaped molecular structure. tRNAs have two regions of fundamental functional importance: the anti-codon, which is responsible for specific mRNA codon recognition, and the 3' end, to which the tRNAs corresponding amino acid is attached (by aminoacyl-tRNA synthetases). tRNAs cope with the degeneracy of the genetic code in two manners: having more than one tRNA (with a specific anti-codon) for a particular amino acid; and 'wobble' base-pairing, i.e. permitting non-standard base-pairing at the 3rd anti-codon position.
Source: RNAcentral